Molecule: long non-coding RNA, 513 nt
Filed under: Musa acuminata (dwarf banana)
Lineage: Eukaryota; Viridiplantae; Streptophyta; Magnoliopsida; Zingiberales; Musaceae
Description: long non-coding RNA (MACU_LNC003892)
Source: RNAcentral
CAUGUAAGCGACGAAGGCGAAAGCAGAUUUGCAUGUGUGUAAGAAAGAGGUCAUAUGAACCGGAGAACAAGUGGUAUGGAAGAGCUCAUUAUUAAUAGAUCUUACAGAAAAACGAGUUGCGAUGUAUAAAUGCAACCUCGUUUCACAAAGGAUCUUGUUCUGAACUUGUUUGAUCCUUACAGUACAAGUCUAGUUCUUUCCAUGGAGAUGUAAUUGUUCUCAGCUUCUGGUACUCUGUUUUGAUCACUAUCGGCUAUCAUUGAGAUCAGUGCAACCUCGUUUCACAAAGGAUCUUGUUCUGAACUUGUUUGAUGCUUACAGUACAAAUCUAGUUCUUUCCAUGGAGAUGUAAUUGUUCUCAGCUUCUGGUACUCUGUUUUGAUCACCAUUGGCUAUCAUUGAGACCAGCGGGGGAUUCAUGUGUGGAUUACACACUGUGCUUCUCCAAGAUCGGAUUCCUAUCUAAUUAACAGGAAAUCGGUCUUCAUAGCUAGUUAUCAGAUUGGGACCCCC